Alosa sapidissima (American shad) is the source of this 93-nucleotide long non-coding RNA. RefSeq lists it as uncharacterized. The transcript has 3 exons. The record is from RefSeq and is a predicted model, not a curated record. Lineage: Eukaryota; Metazoa; Chordata; Actinopteri; Clupeiformes; Clupeidae.
CAAAGAUCCCCAACACCCGCUCAUGCAUAAAGUGACCAUUUGGUCCUUGUUCUGGCCCCUCUACUGAGAGAUAACUCACUUUGGAUGUCUGGG